RNAcentral lists this ribosomal RNA (254 nucleotides) under uncultured bacterium. Its description in RNAcentral is "partial 16S ribosomal RNA". It matches the Rfam family "Bacterial small subunit ribosomal RNA", at positions 524 to 776 of the family's 1533-position model. The record is from RNAcentral.
CACGUAGGGGGCAAGCGUUGUCCGGAUUUAUUGGGCGUAAAGAGCUCGUAGGUGGUUCCGUAAGUCAGGUGUGAAACCUCCAGGCUCAACCUGGAGACGCCACUUGAUACUGCGGUGACUGGAGUCCGGUAGGGGAGCGUGGAAUUCCUGGUGUAGCGGUGAAAUGCGCAGAUAUCAGGAGGAACACCGGUGGCGAAGGCGGCUAUCUGGACAGAAACUGACGCUGAGGCGCGAAAGCUAGGGGAGCAAACAGG